This 253-nucleotide ribosomal RNA is filed under the name uncultured bacterium. Its description in RNAcentral is "partial 16S ribosomal RNA". It matches the Rfam family "Bacterial small subunit ribosomal RNA", at positions 524 to 776 of the family's 1533-position model. The record is from RNAcentral.
UACGUAGGGGGCGAGCGUUGUCCGGAAUUAUUGGGCGUAAAGAGCGUGUAGGCGGCCAGGUAGGUCCGUUGUGAAAACUCGAGGCUCAACCUCGAGACGUCGGCGGAAACCCUCUGGCUAGAGUCCGGAAGAGGAGAGUGGAAUUCCUGGUGUAGCGGUGGAAUGCGCAGAUAUCAGGAGGAACACCGGUGGCGAAGGCGGGUCUCUGGGCCGACAUUGACGCUGAGGAGCGAAAGCGUGGGGAGCGAACAGG